Molecule: ribosomal RNA, 315 nt
Filed under: uncultured eukaryote
Lineage: Eukaryota
Description: partial 18S ribosomal RNA
Rfam family: Eukaryotic small subunit ribosomal RNA
Source: RNAcentral
CCCUUAGACGUUCUGGGCCGCACGCGCGCUACACUGACCAGUGCAACAAGCAUCCGUCCUUGGCCGACAGGCUCGGGCAAUCUUUGAACGCUGGUCGUGAUGGGGAUAGACUUUUGCAAUUUUUGGUCUUCAACGAGGAAUUCCUAGUAAACGCAGGUCAUCAACUUGCAUUGAUUACGUCCCUGCCCUUUGUACACACCGCCCGUCGCACCUACCGAUUGAAUGGUCCGGUGAAGCCUCCGGAUUGGCGCGCACCUCGGUGCCGCCGAGAAGUUGGCUAAACCUUACCAUUUAGAGGAAGGUGAAGUCGUAACA